GCAGCCGCCGCGGGAAUACGGAGGGGGCUAGCGUUGUUCGGAAUUACUGGGCGUAAAGCGCACGUAGGCGGCUUUGUAAGUUAGAGGUGAAAGCCCGGGGCUCAACCCCGGAAUUGCCUUUAAGACUGCAGAGCUAGCAGGUGAGAGAGGUGAGUGGAAUUCCGAGUGUAGAGGUGAAAUUCGUAGAUAUUCGGAAGAACACCAGUGGCGAAGGCGGCUCACUGGCUCAUACUGGACGCUGAGGUGCGAAAGCGUGGGGAGCAAACAGGAUUAGAUACCCCCGUAGUCCCUGUCUCUUAUAA
This 302-nucleotide ribosomal RNA is filed under the name uncultured bacterium. RNAcentral's name for it is "partial 16S ribosomal RNA". It matches the Rfam family "Bacterial small subunit ribosomal RNA", at positions 508 to 809 of the family's 1533-position model. The record is from RNAcentral.